CGCUCGGCCGAACGCGGAUGCAGUGAGCUGGCUAAAAAUGGAAACACUCACACACAUCUACAUCGUCUACAUGUACAUUCAUUACUACACAAGAUCGGCUACGUUCGUAGAAUUUCGUUGCCGGUGCGAUGGUGUGAUUGGUCUAGCUGAAAUUGCUAGACAUAAAGGCAACGCGUUUUCUUUGUCACACGCGUGCGAAACAUGAAUUUAUUGAAACUUGUUUGGGAUUAGUAAACAAAGCAGGAAAAUCCACUUUCCAGUGACCGCAAUAAAGACCGACGCAUGUAGAGCGUGUCGGCAUCAACUCUGCAUGAGAAUUUCGAUUGUUUGCGGAUGGGGGAGCGAGCAAACAAACAGCUGAUUCAAUCACGUGACUUUAUUAUUGGUUACUCAUUGAAACAUCUGUUUUGGUAAAAUUUAGCCAACAUCAAUUCAAUUCAAGUGUUUCUAUGUGCCGAUUGUCACUCGGUCAGAUUUAAAAAAAUGAUGCCUAACUGUGCCUCCCACGUUCCAGCGCAACGAGAUUGGAUGCUGUGUUAGCGACAAGCUGUCUGCCUCGGUUCGACUGGAAAUAAUUGCAUAAUUGCUUGUUGCGUAACCAAUUUGUAAGCAAAUGAGAAUUGUUAUUGGACAAAAUCUAGAAAUUAUAACAGGUAUCGAAGUAAGGACAUUAGCGAAUUGUAAUUCUUGGAAAUUGGAUGUGUUUAUUAUUAUUUCUGGGGAAAUCCAAAUAGAUGUAUAAUUUAAAUAUUCUAGGAAUGCAAAAUAUUGAUUAAUAGAUUCUUUAAAAUGUU
Long non-coding RNA from Dalotia coriaria, 794 nucleotides. RefSeq lists it as uncharacterized. Lineage: Eukaryota; Metazoa; Arthropoda; Insecta; Coleoptera; Staphylinidae. The record is from RefSeq and is a predicted model, not a curated record. The transcript has 3 exons.